UUAUGUAAUAUUUAGUCGUUUUAGACUCUAUUUUCAGUAACGAAAGAAACAAUUAUGUAAUAUUCACUUUCCAGACUUGCUUAAACAUAUAGUUUGUUUAAAUCAUUUAUCAGAGACCUUAGACAAUCAUAAUUUGCUUAAACAAUUAAAUAUAUUAUCUUCAUAGACCUUAUCAUUAAAUUCUUUUCUUCUACACUAGAUGUUUAUAUUUUAGAAUAAUUUAAUACAGGGCAAACGUGCAUCGCACGUAAAUUCACUGCUACUGUGUAUAUAUAUAUAUAUAUAUAUAUAUUUA
Juglans microcarpa x Juglans regia is the source of this 295-nucleotide long non-coding RNA. RefSeq lists it as uncharacterized. The record is from RefSeq and is a predicted model, not a curated record. NCBI's taxonomy places the organism in Eukaryota, Viridiplantae, Streptophyta, Magnoliopsida, Fagales, Juglandaceae. The transcript has 3 exons.